AUGGUUUUACCGUAGUUGACGACGGCUUUCUUGAAGAAGGCCGGGCCCGCGACAAUGUCCUCGACGGCGUGCUGGGCGCUGAAACGGUAC
Molecule: transfer RNA, 90 nt
Filed under: Arthrobacter sp. NtRootA1
Lineage: Bacteria; Bacillati; Actinomycetota; Actinomycetes; Micrococcales; Micrococcaceae
Description: tRNA-Ser
Source: RNAcentral